RNAcentral lists this ribosomal RNA (626 nucleotides) under Enterococcus faecalis. RNAcentral's name for it is "bacterial SSU rRNA". It matches the Rfam family "Bacterial small subunit ribosomal RNA", at positions 64 to 679 of the family's 1533-position model. Lineage: Bacteria; Bacillati; Bacillota; Bacilli; Lactobacillales; Enterococcaceae. The record is from RNAcentral.
GAGUGCUUGCACUCAAUUGGAAAGAGGAGUGGCGGACGGGUGAGUAACACGUGGGUAACCUACCCAUCAGAGGGGGAUAACACUUGGAAACAGGUGCUAAUACCGCAUAACAGUUUAUGCCGCAUGGCAUAAGAGUGAAAGGCGCUUUCGGGUGUCGCUGAUGGAUGGACCCGCGGUGCAUUAGCUAGUUGGUGAGGUAACGGCUCACCAAGGCCACGAUGCAUAGCCGACCUGAGAGGGUGAUCGGCCACACUGGGACUGAGACACGGCCCAGACUCCUACGGGAGGCAGCAGUAGGGAAUCUUCGGCAAUGGACGAAAGUCUGACCGAGCAACGCCGCGUGAGUGAAGAAGGUUUUCGGAUCGUAAAACUCUGUUGUUAGAGAAGAACAAGGACGUUAGUAACUGAACGUCCCCUGACGGUAUCUAACCAGAAAGCCACGGCUAACUACGUGCCAGCAGCCGCGGUAAUACGUAGGUGGCAAGCGUUGUCCGGAUUUAUUGGGCGUAAAGCGAGCGCAGGCGGUUUCUUAAGUCUGAUGUGAAAGCCCCCGGCUCAACCGGGGAGGGUCAUUGGAAACUGGGAGACUUGAGUGCAGAAGAGGAGAGUGGAAUUCCAUGGUUAAC